ACUCCUACGGGAGGCAGCAGUGGGGAAUAUUGCACAAUGGGGAAAGGCCAUCCGAUGCAGCCAUGCCGCGCUGUGUGAAGAAGGCCAAUUCGGGCUUGGUUAAAGACACUUUCAGUAGGGAGGAAGGUAGUGUAGUUAACACCUGCAUUAUUUGACGUUACCUACAGAAGAAGCACCGGCUAACUCCGUGCCAGCAGCCGCGGUAAUACGGAGGGUGCGAGCGUUAAUCGGAAUUACUGGGCGUAAAGCGCAUGCAGGCGGCCUGUUAAGUCAGAUGUGAAAGCCCGGGCUU
This 292-nucleotide ribosomal RNA is filed under the name uncultured bacterium. RNAcentral's name for it is "partial 16S ribosomal RNA". It matches the Rfam family "Bacterial small subunit ribosomal RNA", at positions 335 to 609 of the family's 1533-position model. The record is from RNAcentral.